GCACCAUUCGGGGACAUCCGAUAAAAAUUAGCAUGACCCCUGCGCAAGGAUGACACGGACAAAUCGAGAAAUGGUCCAAAUUUGU
This 85-nucleotide small nuclear RNA is filed under the name Brachypodium distachyon (stiff brome). The record is from RNAcentral. Lineage: Eukaryota; Viridiplantae; Streptophyta; Magnoliopsida; Poales; Poaceae.